This 1961-nucleotide ribosomal RNA is filed under the name human gut metagenome. RNAcentral's name for it is "bacterial LSU rRNA". It matches the Rfam family "Bacterial large subunit ribosomal RNA", at positions 1 to 1975 of the family's 2925-position model. The record is from RNAcentral.
GUGAACAAUUAAGGGCGCGCGGUGGAUGCCUAGGCUCUCGGAGGCGAAGAAGGACGCGAUAAGCCGCGAUAGUCCACGGCGAGGUGCAAGUAACCCUUGACCCGUGGGUUUCCGAAUGGGGCAACCCGGCCGUCUAGAUGACGGUCAUGCAUUAUCAUGCAGGCGAACGCGGGGAACUGAAACAUCUCAUUACCCGCAGGAGAAGAAAACAAAAUGUGAUUCCCCCAGUAGUGGCGAGCGAACGGGGAAGAGCCCAAACCGGUAGCGUUUCGGCGAUACCGGGGUCAUGGGACCACGCCAUUCGAAACAAGAUGAAGUGCAAUUACCUGGAAAGGUAAGCCGCGGAGGGUGAUAGCCCCGUGCACGUCAAUUCUUGUGGAGAUAGUGGAAUCCCGAGUAGGGCGGGACACGAGAAAUCCUGCCUGAAUUCGCCAGGACCUCCUGGCAAGGCUAAAUACUCCCGAGAGACCGAUAGUGAACCAGUACCGUGAGGGAAAGGUGAAAAGAACCCCGAGCAGGGGAGUGAAAUAGACCCUGAACCCGCGCGCCUACAAGCGGUCGGAGCUGCCUUGUGCAGUGACGGCGUGCCUUUUGCAUAAUGAGCCUACGAGUUAGUCGUCACCAGCGAGGUUAAGGGCUUCAGGCCCGUAAGCCGAAGUGAAAGCGAGCCUUAACAGGGCGUUAAGUUGGUGGCGCUAGACGCGAAACCUUGUGAUCUACCCACGAGCAGGUUGAAGUCGCGGUAACACGUGAUGGAGGACCGAACCGGUAAACGUUGAAAAGUUUUCGGAUGACUCGCGGGUAGGGGUGAAAGGCCAAUCAAACUGGGAAAUAGCUCGUACUCUCCGAAAUGCAUUUCGGUGCAGCCUGUGAUGUUCUGUUCCAGAGGUAGAGCUACUGGUUGGACGCGAGGGCUUCACCGCCUAUCAAAUCCGGAUAAACUCCGAAUGCUGGAACACGAAAUCAUGGAGUGAGCCCGCGGGUGCUAAGGUCCGCGGACGAGAGGGAAAGAACCCGGACCACCGGCUAAGGUCCCGGAUGGACAGUUAAGUUGAUCAAACGAGGUGGGAUCGCUGAGACAGCUAGGAUGUUGGCUUGGAAGCAGCCAUUCAUUUAAAGAGUGCGUAACAGCUCACUAGUCGAGCGAUCCCGCGUGGAUAAUACACGGGCAUUAAACUGUCAACCGAAGCCGUGGGGUCAGCGAAAAGCUGACCGGUAGGAGAGCAUUCCUGCCAGCGUUGAAGGUCACCCGCGAGAGUGACUGGAGCGGCAUGAAAAGCAAAUGUAGGCAUAAGUAACGAUAAUGGGGGCGAGAACCCCCCACGCCGCAAGACCAAGGCUUCCCCGGCAAUGUCAAUCAGCCGGGGGUCAGCCGGCCUCUAAGGCUAACCCGAACGGGGAUGCCGACGAGAAACGGGUUAACAUUCCCGUGCUUCUCGUCACCGUGACGCGGUGACGGGGUGAUGAAUGGACCGCGCGCUGACGGAAUAGCGCGUUGAAGGCCGUACCCUUCGAGGGUGGUAGUCAAGCACGCCACCCGAGGCGAUAGCCGAUAGUACCACGAGACUCCGGUCGAGUGGAUAGCGUCCAGGCAAUUUACCCCCGAGAAAACCCGCUAAACUUCAAGUGACGAGGAACCGUACUGUAAACGGACACACGUGGUCGGGUAGAACAUACCAAGGCGCUCGAGUGAUUCAUGGUCAAGGAACUAGGCAAAAUAGUCCUGUAACUUCGGGAAAAAGGACGCUCUAGUGAUAGAGCCGCAGAGUAAUGGCCCAGGCGACUGUUUACCAAAAACACAUGGCUAUGCCAAAUCGAAAGAUGACGUAUAUGGCCUGACACCUGCCCGGUGCCGGAAGGUUAAGAGGAGAGCUCAUCGGAAACGAGAAGGUUUGAAUUGAAGCCCCGGUAAACGGCGGCCGUAACUAUAACGGUCCUAAGGUAGCGAAAUUCCUUGUCGG